GACGAACGCUGGCGGCGUGCCUAAUACAUGCAAGUCGAGCGCAGGAAAUCGACGGAACCCUUCGGGGGGAAGUCGACGGAAUGAGCGGCGGACGGGUGAGUAACACGUAAAGAACCUGCCCUCAGGUCUGGGAUAACCACGAGAAAUCGGGGCUAAUACCGGAUGGGUCAUCGGACCGCAUGGUCCGAGGAUGAAAGGCGCUUCGGCGUCGCCUGGGGAUGGCUUUGCGGUGCAUUAGCUAGUUGGUGGGGUAAUGGCCCACCAAGGCGACGGUGCAUAGCCGACCUGAGAGGGUGAUCGGCCACACUGGGACUGAGCCACGGCCCAGACUCCUACGGGAGGCAGCAGUAGGGAAUCUUCCACAAUGGACGAAAGUCUGAUGGAGCAACGCCGCGUGAACGAUGAAGGCCUUCGGGUCGUAAAGUUCUGUUGUACGGGAAGAACAAGUGCCGCAGGCAAUGGCGGCACCUUGACGGUACCUUGCGAGAAAGCCACGGCUAACUACGUGCCAGCCGCCGCGGUAA
Molecule: ribosomal RNA, 524 nt
Filed under: uncultured bacterium
Lineage: Bacteria
Description: partial 16S ribosomal RNA
Rfam family: Bacterial small subunit ribosomal RNA
Source: RNAcentral